RNAcentral lists this ribosomal RNA (54 nucleotides) under Fusarium solani. RNAcentral's name for it is "partial 18S ribosomal RNA". Lineage: Eukaryota; Fungi; Ascomycota; Sordariomycetes; Hypocreales; Nectriaceae. The record is from RNAcentral.
GGAAGUAAAAGUCGAACAACGGUCUCCGUUGGUGAACCAGCGGAGGGAUAUUAC